Notolabrus celidotus (New Zealand spotty) is the source of this 518-nucleotide long non-coding RNA. RefSeq lists it as uncharacterized. The record is from RefSeq and is a predicted model, not a curated record. The transcript has 5 exons. Lineage: Eukaryota; Metazoa; Chordata; Actinopteri; Labriformes; Labridae.
CCUGCAGUCGCGAAUCCACUUGGUCAGAAGAUGAAAAACGUCAAUCCAGAGGAGAGGGAGGAGGUGAAGGAGGCCACACAGGACGAGGACCAGGCUCAUCAGGAUAUUGUUCAGAUGGAUGGACAUCUAAAUUCCUUGUAAAGCUCCUUAACAUCCCUGGGCUUCAUGUUGGCCAGCAUGGCAUGGAAAAUCAUACAUUUGCUUUUCAUGCUCAUAGCCAGGAAAAGUUUAUUUGGAGUUUAAUUCUCAGCUCUUACAGUUCAGAAGUUGGUGUGCAGUCAGCCAAGACCCUGAACCCUGAAUUGAUUCCUCAUCCAUGCCAGGAGUGCACCAAACCUUGUAUGAAGACUUCGUAAAGACAUCACUCACUGGAGAAAGGGAUCUGGAUAGUAGUCCAGGGCUUUGGUACAAGAGACUCUCUAAUAUUCAUUCUUGUUUAGAUUUUGUGAAAACUAUGUGAGAAAUUCCUGCCAACACUUGACUUUGUACUAACAAAAUAAAAAAGUUCUUGAAAUUGA